AGGGUUUGAUCAUGGCUCAGAACGUACGCUGGCGGCACGCCUAACACAUGCAAGUCGAACGAAGUAGCAAUACUUAGUGGCAGACGGGUGAGUAACAUGUAGGUAUCUGCCCUUUGGCCUGGAAUAACACGAGGAAACUUGUGCUAAUACUGGAUAAGUCUUUACGGAGAAAGCUUUAUGCACCAAUGGAUGAGCCUGCACUUGAUUAGUUUGUUGGUAGGGUAAUGGCCUACCAAGACUAUGAUCAAUAGCUGAUUUGAGAGGAUGAUCAGCCACAUUGGGACUGAGACACGGCCCAAACUCCUACGGGAGGCAGCAGUGGGGAAUCUUGCACAAUGGAGGAAACUCUGAUGCAGCGAUGCCGCGUGAGUGAAGAAGGCCUUUGGGUUGUAAAGCUCUUUCGUCGGGGAAGAAAAUGACUGUACCCGAAUAAGAAGGUCCGGCUAACUUCGUGCCAGCAGCCGCGGUAAUACGAAGGGACCUAGCGUAGUUCGGAAUUACUGGGCUUAAAGAGUUCGUAGGUGGUUGAAAAAGUUGGUGGUGAAAUCCCAGAGCUUAACUCUGGAACUGCCAUCAAAACUUUUCAGCUAGAGUUUGAUAGAGGAAAGCAGAAUUUCUAGUGUAGAGGUGAAAUUCGUAGAUAUUAGAAAGAAUACCAAUUGCGAAGGCAGCUUUCUGGAUCAAUACUGACACUGAGGAACGAAAGCAUGGGUAGCGAAGAGGAUUAGAUACCCUCGUAGUCCAUGCCGUAAACGAUGUGUGUUAGACGUUGGAAAUUUAUUUUCAGUGUCGCAGCGAAAGCGAUAAACACACCGCCUGGGGAGUACGACCGCAAGGUUAAAACUCAAAUGAAUUGACGGGGACCCGCACAAGUAGUGGAGCAUGUGGUUUAAUUCGAAGAUACGCGCAGAACCUUACCAACACUUGACAUGUUCGUCGCGACUUUAAGAGAUUAAAGUUUUCGGUUCGGCCGGACGAAACACAGGUGCUGCAUGGCUGUCGUCAGCUCGUGUCGUGAGAUGUUGGGUUAAGUCCCGCAACGAGCGCAACCCUCACUUUUAGUUGCCAUCAUUUAGUUGGGCACUCUGAAAGAACUGCCAGUGAUAAGCUGGAGGAAGGUGGGGAUGACGUCAAGUCCUCAUGGCCCUUACGUGUUGGGCUACACACGUGCUACAAUGGUAUUUACAACAGGAAGCAAAACGGCGACGUUUAGCAAAUCCUUAAAAAAUACCUCAGUUCGGAUUGCACUCUGCAACUCUAGUGCAUGAAGCUGGAAUUACUAGUAAUCGUGGAUCAGCGUGCCACGGUGAAUGCGUUCCCGGGUCUUGUACACACCGCCCGUCACACCAUGGGAGUUGGUUCUACCUUAAGGCAAGGUUUAAAAUCCUUGACCACGGUAUAGUCAGCGACUGGGGUGAAGUCAUAACAAGGUAACCGUA
RNAcentral lists this ribosomal RNA (1439 nucleotides) under uncultured bacterium. Its description in RNAcentral is "bacterial SSU rRNA". It matches the Rfam family "Bacterial small subunit ribosomal RNA". The record is from RNAcentral.